UACGUAGGGUGCAAGCGUUAAUCGGAAUUACUGGGCGUAAAGCGUGCGCAGGCGGUCUUGCAAGUCAGAUGUGAAAUCCCCGGGCUUAACCUGGGAACUGCAUUUGUGACUGCAAGGCUGGAGUGCGGCAGAGGGGGAUGGAAUUCCACGUGUAGCAGUGAAAUGCGUAGAGAUGUGGAGGAACACCGAUGGCGAAGGCAGCCCCCUGGGUCAAGAUUGACGCUCAUGCACGAAAGCGUGGGGAGCAAACAGG
RNAcentral lists this ribosomal RNA (253 nucleotides) under uncultured bacterium. Its description in RNAcentral is "partial 16S ribosomal RNA". It matches the Rfam family "Bacterial small subunit ribosomal RNA", at positions 524 to 776 of the family's 1533-position model. The record is from RNAcentral.